UGCAGUCGAGCGGAUGAGAGAGCUUGCUCUCUGAUUCAGCGGCGGACGGGUGAGUAAUGCCUAGGAAUCUGCCUGAUAGUGGGGGACAACGUUUCGAAAGGAACGCUAAUACCGCAUACGUCCUACGGGAGAAAGCAGGGGACCUUCGGGCCUUGCGCUAUCAGAUGAGCCUAGGUCGGAUUAGCUAGUUGGUGAGGUAAUGGCUCACCAAGGCGACGAUCCGUAACUGGUCUGAGAGGAUGAUCAGUCACACUGGAACUGAGACACGGUCCAGACUCCUACGGGAGGCAGCAGUGGGGAAUAUUGGACAAUGGGCGAAAGCCUGAUCCAGCCAUGCCGCGUGUGUGAAGAAGGUCUUCGGAUUGUAAAGCACUUUAAGUUGGGAGGAAGGGCAUUAACCUAAUACGUUAGUGUUUUGACGUUACCGACAGAAUAAGCACCGGCUAACUUCGUGCCAGCAGCCGCGGUAAUACGAAGGGUGCAAGCGUUAAUCGGAAUUACUGGGCGUAAAGCGCGCGUAGGUGGUUUGUUAAGUUGAAUGUGAAAGCCCCGGGCUCAACCUGGGAACUGCAUCCAAAACUGGCAAGCUAGAGUAUGGCAGAGGGUGGUGGAAUUUCCUGUGUAGCGGUGAAAUGCGUAGAUAUAGGAAGGAACACCAGUGGCGAAGGCGACCACCUGGGCUAAUACUGACACUGAGGUGCGA
Molecule: ribosomal RNA, 703 nt
Filed under: uncultured bacterium
Lineage: Bacteria
Description: bacterial SSU rRNA
Rfam family: Bacterial small subunit ribosomal RNA
Source: RNAcentral